UACGUAGGGGGCAAGCGUUAUCCGGAUUUACUGGGUGUAAAGGGAGCGUAGACGGCCAGACAAGUCUGAAGUGAAAAUCCAGCGCUUAACGUUGGAAGUGCUUUGGAAACUGCCGGGCCAGAGUGCAGGAGGGGCAGGCGGAAUUCCUAGUGUAGCGGUGAAAUGCGUAGAUAUUAGGAGGAACACCAGUGGCGAAGGCGGCCUGCUGGACUGCAACUGACGUUGAGGCUCGAAGGCGUGGGGGGCAAACAGG
Molecule: ribosomal RNA, 253 nt
Filed under: uncultured bacterium
Lineage: Bacteria
Description: partial 16S ribosomal RNA
Rfam family: Bacterial small subunit ribosomal RNA
Source: RNAcentral